RNAcentral lists this ribosomal RNA (460 nucleotides) under uncultured bacterium. Its description in RNAcentral is "partial 16S ribosomal RNA". It matches the Rfam family "Bacterial small subunit ribosomal RNA", at positions 338 to 795 of the family's 1533-position model. The record is from RNAcentral.
CCUACGGGUGGCAGCAGUGAGGAAUAUUGGUCAAUGGGCUUACGCCUGAACCAGCCAAGUAGCGUGAAGGAUGACUGCCCUACGGGUUGUAAACUUCUUUUAUAAAGGAAUAAAGUGAGGCACGUGUGCCUUUUUGUAGGUACUUUAUGAAUAAGGAUCGGCUAACUCCGUGCCAGCAGCCGCGGUAAUACGGAGGAUCCGAGCGUUAUCCGGAUUUAUUGGGUUUAAAGGGAGCGUAGAUGGGUUGUUAAGUCAGUUGUGAAAGUUUGCGGCGCAACCGUAAAAUUGCAAUUGAUACUGGCAGGCUUGAGUACAGUUGAGGUAGGCGGAAUUCGUGGUGUAGCGGUGAAAUGCUUAGAUAUCACGAAGAACCCCGAUUGCGAAGGCAGCUUACUAAACUGUGACUGACAUUGAUGCUCGAAAGUGUGGGUAUCAAACAGGAUUAGAUACCCCAGUAGUC